GACGAACGCUGGCGGCGUGCCUAAUACAUGCAAGUUGAGCGCUGAAGGUUGGUACUUGUACCAACUGGAUGAGCAGCGAACGGGUGAGUAACGCGUGGGGAAUCUGCCUUUGAGCGGGGGACAACAUUUGGAAACGAAUGCUAAUACCGCAUAAAAACUUUAAACACAAGUUUUAAGUUUGAAAGAUGCAAUUGCAUCACUCAAAGAUGAUCCCGCGUUGUAUUAGCUGGUUGGUGAGGUAAAGGCUCACCAAGGCGAUGAUACAUAGCCGACCUGAGAGGGUGAACGGCCACAUUGGGACUGAGACACGGCCCAAACUCCUACGGGAGGCAGCAGUAGGGAAUCUUCGGCAAUGGACGAAAGUCUGACCGAGCAACGCCGCGUGAGUGAAGAAGGUUGUCGGAUCGUAAAACUCUGUUGGUAGAGAAGAACGUUGGUGAGAGUGGAAAGCUCAUCAAGUGACGGUAACUAUCCAGAAAGGGACGGCUAACUACGUG
Molecule: ribosomal RNA, 497 nt
Filed under: uncultured bacterium
Lineage: Bacteria
Description: partial 16S ribosomal RNA
Rfam family: Bacterial small subunit ribosomal RNA
Source: RNAcentral